GUGGUGGCUUAGUGGUAGAAUGCUUGCCUAGCAUGUGCAAGGCACUGGGAUCGAUUCUCAGCACCACA
Molecule: transfer RNA, 68 nt
Filed under: Marmota monax (woodchuck)
Lineage: Eukaryota; Metazoa; Chordata; Mammalia; Rodentia; Sciuridae
Description: tRNA.Ala
Source: RNAcentral